This 292-nucleotide ribosomal RNA is filed under the name uncultured bacterium. RNAcentral's name for it is "partial 16S ribosomal RNA". It matches the Rfam family "Bacterial small subunit ribosomal RNA", at positions 505 to 796 of the family's 1533-position model. The record is from RNAcentral.
GUGCCAGCAGCCGCGGUAAUACGGAGGGUGCAAGCGUUAUCCGGAUUCACUGGGUUUAAAGGGUGCGUAGGCGGCCUGUUAAGUCAGUGGUGAAAGCCCGCAGCUCAACUGCGGAACUGCCAUUGAAACUGACAGGCUGGAGUAUAAUUGAUGUGGGUGGAAUACAACAUGUAGCGGUGAAAUGCUUAGAUAUGAUGUAGAACGCCGAUCGCGAAGGCAGCUCACAAAAUUAUUACUGACGCUGAGGCACGAAAGCAUGGGGAGCAAACAGGAUUAGAUACCCUGGUAGUCC